This 485-nucleotide ribosomal RNA is filed under the name uncultured bacterium. Its description in RNAcentral is "partial 16S ribosomal RNA". It matches the Rfam family "Bacterial small subunit ribosomal RNA", at positions 30 to 507 of the family's 1533-position model. The record is from RNAcentral.
UUGAACGCUGGCGGCAUGCCUUACACAUGCAAGUCGAACGGCAGCACGGGUGCUUGCACCUGGUGGCGCGUGGCGAACGGGUGAGUAAUACAUCGGAACAUGUCCUGUAGUGGGGGAUAGCCCGGCGAAAGCCGGAUUAAUACCGCAUACGAUCCACGGAUGAAAGCGGGGGACCUUCGGGCCUCGCGCUAUAGGGUUGGCCGAUGGCUGAUUAGCUAGUUGGUGGGGUAAAGGCCUACCAAGGCGACGAUCAGUAGCUGGUCUGAGAGGACGACCAGCCACACUGGGACUGAGACACGGCCCAGACUCCUACGGGAGGCAGCAGUGGGGAAUUUUGGACAAUGGGCGAAAGCCUGAUCCAGCAAUGCCGCGUGUGUGAAGAAGGCCUUCGGGUUGUAAAGCACUUUUGUCCGGAAAGAAAUCCUUGACUCUAAUACAGUCGGGGGAUGACGGUACCGGAAGAAUAAGCACCGGCUAACUACGUG